AAGUGAGGUAGAGGCGCGAUAUUCUAACAGUCUUUAGCGGAGUUCGAGAAAGCAUUGAUGCUAAGGAGAAGGAGAUAUCGCCGAAGUUUAUAAUAUUUCUCAGUAUUAUUUGCUGGGCCUGCAGUUAAGAAUUGCAGGACUGUCUCAAUAAACACAUAUCCCAAGUUUAUUGAGUUGUGCUAUCUCAUUA
RNAcentral lists this non-coding RNA (190 nucleotides) under Sporanaerobacter sp. PP17-6a. RNAcentral describes it as "Lysine riboswitch aptamer". It matches the Rfam family "Lysine riboswitch aptamer". Rfam says of the family: Riboswitches are metabolite binding domains within certain messenger RNAs that serve as precision sensors for their corresponding targets. Allosteric rearrangement of mRNA structure is mediated by ligand binding, and this results in modulation of gene expression. Lineage: Bacteria; Bacillati; Bacillota; Tissierellia; Tissierellales; Sporanaerobacteraceae. The record is from Rfam by way of RNAcentral. RNAcentral also lists the same sequence under 1 other name.